Molecule: ribosomal RNA, 407 nt
Filed under: uncultured bacterium
Lineage: Bacteria
Description: partial 16S ribosomal RNA
Rfam family: Bacterial small subunit ribosomal RNA
Source: RNAcentral
AUUGAACGCUGGCGGCAGGCCUAACACAUGCAAGUCGAGCGGAGCGGCGGACGGGUGAGUAAUGCCUAGGAAUCUGCCUGGUAGUGGGGGAUAACGUCCGGCAACGGGCGCUAAUACCGCAUACUAUCAGAUGAGCCUAGGUCGGAUUAGCUAGUUGGUGGGGUAAAGGCCUACCAAGGCGACGAUCCGUAACUGGUCUGAGAGGUGGAUCAGUCACACGGGAAUGGAGACACGGCCCAGACUCCAACGGGAGGCAGCAGUGGGGAAGAUGGGAAAAUGGGCGAAAGCCUGAUCCAGCCAGGCGGCUUGGUUGAAAAAGGUCUUCGGAUUUAAAGGCACGUUAAGUGGGGAGGCGUUACCAACAGAGUAAGCACCGGCUAACUUCGUGCCAGCAGCCGCGGUAAUUC